RNAcentral lists this ribosomal RNA (414 nucleotides) under uncultured microorganism. Its description in RNAcentral is "bacterial SSU rRNA". It matches the Rfam family "Archaeal small subunit ribosomal RNA", at positions 459 to 872 of the family's 1478-position model. The record is from RNAcentral.
CAGCAGCCGCGGUAAUACCGGCGGCCCGAGUGGCGGUCACUAUUAUUGGGCUUAAAGCGUCCGUAGCCGGGUUGGGAAGUCCUCCGGGAAAUCUGGCCGCUUAACGGUCAGAAUGCCGGAGGAUACUCCCAGCCUAGGGAGCGGGAGAGGCCGAGGGUAUUCCCGGAGCAGGGGUGAAAUCCUAUAAUCCCGGGAGGACCACCUGUGGCGAAGGCGCUCGGCUGGAACGCGUCCGACGGUGAGGGACGAAGGCCAGGGGAGCAAACCGGAUUAGAUACCCGGGUAGUCCUGGCUGUAAACGAUGCGGACUUUGUGUCGGACAAGCUAUGAGCUUGUCCGGUGCCGGAGGGAAACCGUUAAGUCCGCCGCCUGGGGAGUACGGCCGCAAGGCUGAAACUUAAAGGAAUUGGCGGG